GUGAAAUGGAGAUUGCCGUGAGAAUACUGUAGGAGCUGGCAGUCAUUUUUCAGUUCACACCUGCUGUGCAGUGAGGCUGAGCCGCGGGAAUGUAAGACGGAGCUGCCGGAUCGGGAGCAGAAAGGAAGAAAUUCAGAAAGGUCGGCCAUAAAGGUGGGCAAGCUGAGGGAGUAUGACACUUGUGAACAAGACAUGGGAAGUCGUCUUUGUCCCUGUUAACUCAGGACAGUGGCAUGGCUCUGCUCCUCCUCACCUCCUGUCCGUGUCCUUCCGCGACCCUGGCGGAAUACUGUGGGACUUUGCAUCACGCCUCCUCUCAACCUCAAGAUAAAUUUUUUACUGUUUUAAAAA
Molecule: long non-coding RNA, 351 nt
Organism: Jaculus jaculus (lesser Egyptian jerboa)
Lineage: Eukaryota; Metazoa; Chordata; Mammalia; Rodentia; Dipodidae
Exons: 2
Source: RefSeq, a predicted model, not a curated record